GACGAACGCUGGCGGCGUGCCUAAUACAUGCAAGUAGAACGCUGAAGGAGGAGCUUGCUUCUCUGGAUGAGUUGCGAACGGGUGAGUAACGCGUAGGUAACCUGCCUGGUAGCGGGGGAUAACUAUUGGAAACGAUAGCUAAUACCGCAUAAGAGUAGAUGUUGCAUGACAUUUGCUUAAAAGGUGCAAUUGCAUCACUACCAGAUGGACCUGCGUUGUAUUAGCUAGUUGGUGGGGUAACGGCUCACCAAGGCGACGAUACAUAGCCGACCUGAGAGGGUGAUCGGCCACACUGGGACUGAGACACGGCCCAGACUCCUACGGGAGGCAGCAGUAGGGAAUCUUCGGCAAUGGACGGAAGUCUGACCGAGCAACGCCGCGUGAGUGAAGAAGGUUUUCGGAUCGUAAAGCUCUGUUGUAAGAGAAGAACGAGUGUGAGAGUGGAAAGUUCACACUGUGACGGUAUCUUACCAGAAAGGGACGGCUAAGUACGUG
This 495-nucleotide ribosomal RNA is filed under the name uncultured bacterium. Its description in RNAcentral is "partial 16S ribosomal RNA". It matches the Rfam family "Bacterial small subunit ribosomal RNA", at positions 28 to 507 of the family's 1533-position model. The record is from RNAcentral.